Molecule: ribosomal RNA, 253 nt
Filed under: uncultured bacterium
Lineage: Bacteria
Description: partial 16S ribosomal RNA
Rfam family: Bacterial small subunit ribosomal RNA
Source: RNAcentral
UACAGAGGGUGCGAGCGUUAAUCGGAAUUACUGGGCGUAAAGCGUGCGUAGACGGUUAUUUAAGUCGGAUGUGAAAGCCCCGGGCUCAACCUGGGAAUUGCAUUCGAGACUGAAUAGCUAGGGUGCGGUAGAGGGAAGCGGAAUUUCAGGUGUAGCGGUGAAAUGCGUAGAUAUCUGAAGGAACAUCAGUGGCGAAAGCGACUUCCUGGACCAAUACUGACACUCAUGUGCGAAAGCGUGGGGAGCAAACAGG